GAUGAACGCUAGCGGCAGGCUUAAUACAUGCAAGUUGAACGAGAUUUACUUUGUAGUAAUACUAAGUAAUGAAAGUGGCGCACGGGUGCGUAACACGUAUGCAACCUACCCUUAACAGGGGGAUAACAGGGAGAAAUUUCUGCUAAUACCCCAUAGAGUUUUACUGUGGCAUCACAAAAAAACUAAAGUUCCGGCGGUUAAGGAUGGGCAUGCGUCCCAUUAGCUAGUUGGUAAGGUAACGGCUCACCAAGGCUACGAUGGGUAGGGGUUCUGAGAGGAAGGUCCCCCACACUGGUACUGAGACACGGACCAGACUCCUACGGGAGGCAGCAGUAAGGAAUAUUGGUCAAUGGGCGCAAGCCUGAACCAGCCAUGCCCGCGUGCAGGAAGACAGCCUUAUGAGUUGUAAACUGCUUUUAUUAUAGAAAAAUUUGGUGUACGUGUACGCCAUUGAUAGUAUAUAUUGAAUAAGCAUCGGCUAACUCCGUGCCAGCAGCCGCGGUAAUACGGAG
This 512-nucleotide ribosomal RNA is filed under the name uncultured bacterium. RNAcentral's name for it is "bacterial SSU rRNA". It matches the Rfam family "Bacterial small subunit ribosomal RNA", at positions 28 to 530 of the family's 1533-position model. The record is from RNAcentral.